UGGGGAUUUUUCCGCAAUGGGCGCAAGCCUGACGGAGCAACGCCGCGUGCGGGAUGACGCCUUUCGGGGUGUAAACCGCUGUUCGGGGGGACGAAGCACUGACGGUACCCCCGGAGGAAGGCCCGGCUAACUACGUGCCAGCAGCCGCGGUAAUACGUAGGGGUCGAGCGUUGUCCGGAGUUACUGGGCGUAAAGCGUGCGCAGGCGGCUCUCUGCGCCCGGCGUGAAAGCCCCCGGCUCAACCGGGGAGGGUCGUCGGGGACGGGAGAGCUUGAGGGUAUCAGGGGCUGGUGGAAUUCCCGGUGUAGUGGUGAAAUGCGUAGAGAUCGGGAGGAACACCCGUGGCGAAGGCGGCCAGCUGGGAUACACCUGACGCUGAGGCACGAAGGCGUGGGGAGCGAAAGGGAUUAGAUACCCCUGUAGUCA
This 426-nucleotide ribosomal RNA is filed under the name uncultured Laceyella sp. RNAcentral's name for it is "bacterial SSU rRNA". It matches the Rfam family "Bacterial small subunit ribosomal RNA", at positions 355 to 796 of the family's 1533-position model. Lineage: Bacteria; Bacillati; Bacillota; Bacilli; Caryophanales; Thermoactinomycetaceae. The record is from RNAcentral.